AAAUUGAAGAGUUUGAUCAUGGCUCAGAUUGAACGCUGGCGGCAGGCCUAACACAUGCAAGUCGAACGGUAACAGGAAGCAGCUUGCUGCUUCGCUGACGAGUGGCGGACGGGUGAGUAAUGUCUGGGAAGCUGCCUGAUGGAGGGGGAUAACUACUGGAAACGGUGGCUAAUACCGCAUAACGUCGCAAGACCAAAGAGGGGGACCUUCGGGCCUCUUGCCAUCAGAUGUGCCCAGAUGGGAUUAGCUUGUUGGUGAGGUAACGGCUCACCAAGGC
This 277-nucleotide ribosomal RNA is filed under the name Salmonella enterica. Its description in RNAcentral is "partial 16S ribosomal RNA". It matches the Rfam family "Bacterial small subunit ribosomal RNA", at positions 1 to 274 of the family's 1533-position model. Lineage: Bacteria; Pseudomonadati; Pseudomonadota; Gammaproteobacteria; Enterobacterales; Enterobacteriaceae. The record is from RNAcentral.